UUAAAUUGAAGAGUUUGAUCAUGGCUCAGAUUGAACGCUGGCGGCAGGCCUAACACAUGCAAGUCGAACGGUAACAGGAAGCAGCUUGCUGCUUUGCUGACGAGUGGCGGACGGGUGAGUAAUGUCUGGGAAACUGCCUGAUGGAGGGGGAUAACUACUGGAAACGGUAGCUAAUACCGCAUAACGUCGCAAGACCAAAGAGGGGGACCUUCGGGCCUCUUGCCAUCGGAUGUGCCCAGAUGGGAUUAGCUAGUAGGUGGGGUAACGGCUCACCUAGGCGACGAUCCCUAGCUGGUCUGAGAGGAUGACCAGCCACACUGGAACUGAGACACGGUCCAGACUCCUACGGGAGGCAGCAGUGGGGAAUAUUGCACAAUGGGCGCAAGCCUGAUGCAGCCAUGCCGCGUGUAUGAAGAAGGCCUUCGGGUUGUAAAGUACUUUCAGCGGGGAGGAAGGGAGUAAAGUUAAUACCUUUGCUCAUUGACGUUACCCACAGAAGAAGCACCGGCUAACUCCGUGCCAGCAGCCGCGGUAAUACGGAGGGUGCAAGCGUUAAUCGGAAUUACUGGGCGUAAAGCGCACGCAGGCGGUUUGUUAAGUCAGAUGUGAAAUCCCCGGGCUCAACCUGGGAACUGCAUCUGAUACUGGCAAGCUUGAGUCUCGUAGAGGGGGGUAGAAUUCCAGGUGUAGCGGUGAAAUGCGUAGAGAUCUGGAGGAAUACCGGUGGCGAAGGCGGCCCCCUGGACGAAGACUGACGCUCAGGUGCGAAAGCGUGGGGAGCAAACAGGAUUAGAUACCCUGGUAGUCCACGCCGUAAACGAUGUCGACUUGGAGGUUGUGCCCUUGAGGCGUGGCUUCCGGAGCUAACGCGUUAAGUCGACCGCCUGGGGAGUACGGCCGCAAGGUUAAAACUCAAAUGAAUUGACGGGGGCCCGCACAAGCGGUGGAGCAUGUGGUUUAAUUCGAUGCAACGCGAAGAACCUUACCUGGUCUUGACAUCCACGGAAGUUUUCAGAGAUGAGAAUGUGCCUUCGGGAACCGUGAGACAGGUGCUGCAUGGCUGUCGUCAGCUCGUGUUGUGAAAUGUUGGGUUAAGUCCCGCAACGAGCGCAACCCUUAUCCUUUGUUGCCAGCGGUCCGGCCGGGAACUCAAAGGAGACUGCCAGUGAUAAACUGGAGGAAGGUGGGGAUGACGUCAAGUCAUCAUGGCCCUUACGACCAGGGCUACACACGUGCUACAAUGGCGCAUACAAAGAGAAGCGACCUCGCGAGAGCAAGCGGACCUCAUAAAGUGCGUCGUAGUCCGGAUUGGAGUCUGCAACUCGACUCCAUGAAGUCGGAAUCGCUAGUAAUCGUGGAUCAGAAUGCCACGGUGAAUACGUUCCCGGGCCUUGUACACACCGCCCGUCACACCAUGGGAGUGGGUUGCAAAAGAAGUAGGUAGCUUAACCUUCGGGAGGGCGCUUACCACUUUGUGAUUCAUGACUGGGGUGAAGUCGUAACAAGGUAACCGUAGGGGAACCUGCGGUUGGAUCACCUCCUUACCUUAAAGAAGC
This 1556-nucleotide ribosomal RNA is filed under the name Escherichia coli. Its description in RNAcentral is "bacterial SSU rRNA". It matches the Rfam family "Bacterial small subunit ribosomal RNA". Lineage: Bacteria; Pseudomonadati; Pseudomonadota; Gammaproteobacteria; Enterobacterales; Enterobacteriaceae. The record is from RNAcentral.